UACGGAGGAUCCGAGCGUUAUCCGGAUUUAUUGGGUUUAAAGGGUGCGCAGGCGGGAGAUUAAGUCGGCGGUGAAAUUUUGCAGCUUAACUGUAAAAGUGCCAUCGAUACUGGUUUCCUUGAGUGUAGAUGAAGUAGGCGGAAUUUGUGGUGUAGCGGUGAAAUGCAUAGAUAUCACGAGGAACUCCGAUUGCGCAGGCAGCUUACUAAACUACUACUGACGCUCAGGCACGAAGGCGUGGGGAUCAAACAGGAUUAGAUACCCCCGUAGU
RNAcentral lists this ribosomal RNA (271 nucleotides) under uncultured prokaryote. RNAcentral describes it as "partial 16S ribosomal RNA". It matches the Rfam family "Bacterial small subunit ribosomal RNA", at positions 524 to 794 of the family's 1533-position model. The record is from RNAcentral.